Molecule: small nuclear RNA, 110 nt
Organism: Cavia porcellus (domestic guinea pig)
Lineage: Eukaryota; Metazoa; Chordata; Mammalia; Rodentia; Caviidae
Rfam family: U5 spliceosomal RNA
About the family: U5 RNA is a component of both types of known spliceosome. The precise function of this molecule is unknown, though it is known that the 5' loop is required for splice site selection and p220 binding, and that both the 3' stem-loop and the Sm site are important for Sm protein binding and cap methylation.
Source: Rfam
AUACUCUGGUUUCUCUUCAGAGCAUAUAAAUCUUUCGACUUUUACUAAAGAUUUCCGUGGAUUCUGACCCUAAAUAUGUCCCCAUCUGACCACAUGAACAUAGUCAUAUC